RNAcentral lists this ribosomal RNA (474 nucleotides) under uncultured bacterium. RNAcentral's name for it is "SSU rRNA". It matches the Rfam family "Bacterial small subunit ribosomal RNA", at positions 26 to 518 of the family's 1533-position model. The record is from RNAcentral.
AGGACGAACGCUGGCGGCGUGCUUAACACAUGCAAGUCGAGCGGAAAGGCCCUUCGGGGUACUCGAGCGGCGAACGGGUGAGUAACACGUGAGUAAUCUGCCCUUAGCUCUGGGAUAGCUCCGGGAAACCGGGAUUAAUACCAGAUACGACCACUUUAGACAUCUGCCGUGGUGGAAAGAAUUUCGGCUAAGGAUGAGCUCGCGGCCUAUCAGCUUGUUGGUGGGGUAACGGCCUACCAAGGCGACGACGGGUAGCCGGCCUGAGAGGGCGACCGGCCACACUGGGACUGAGACACGGUCCAGACUCCUACGGGAGGCAGCAGUGGGGAAUAUUGCGCAAUGGGCGAAAGCCUGACGCAGCGACGCCGCGUGGGGGAUGAAGGCCUUCGGGUUGUAAACCCCUUUCAGCAGGGACGAAGCGAAAGUGACGGUACCUGCAGAAGAAGCGCCGGCUAACUACGUGCCAGCAGCCGC